UACAGAGGGGGCAAGCGUUGUUCGGAAUUACUGGGCGUAAAGGGCGCGUAGGCGGCCUGUUAAGUCGAACGUGAAAUCCCCAAGCUUAACUUGGGAACUGCGUCCGAUACUGGCAGGCUUGAAUUCGGGAGAGGGAUGUGGAAUUCCAGGUGUAGCGGUGAAAUGCGUAGAUAUCUGGAGGAACACCGGUGGCGAAGGCGGCGAUCCUGGACCGAAAUUGACGCUGAUGCGCGAAAGCCAGGGGAGCAAAACGGGG
RNAcentral lists this ribosomal RNA (256 nucleotides) under uncultured bacterium. RNAcentral's name for it is "partial 16S ribosomal RNA". It matches the Rfam family "Bacterial small subunit ribosomal RNA", at positions 524 to 778 of the family's 1533-position model. The record is from RNAcentral.